RNAcentral lists this ribosomal RNA (460 nucleotides) under uncultured bacterium. RNAcentral describes it as "partial 16S ribosomal RNA". It matches the Rfam family "Bacterial small subunit ribosomal RNA", at positions 338 to 795 of the family's 1533-position model. The record is from RNAcentral.
CCUACGGGGGGCAGCAGUGAGGAAUAUUGGUCAAUGGACGAGAGUCUGAACCAGCCAAGUAGCGUGAAGGAUGACUGUCCUAUGGGUUGUAAACUUCUUUUAUAUGGGAAUAAAAUGUUCCACGUGUGGGAUUUUGUAUGUACCAUAUGAAUAAGGAUCGGCUAACUCCGUGCCAGCAGCCGCGGUAAUACGGAGGAUCCGAGCGUUAUCCGGAUUUAUUGGGUUUAAAGGGAGCGUAGGUGGAUUGUUAAGUCAGUUGUGAAAGUUUGCGGCUCAACCGUAAAAUUGCAGUUGAAACUGGCAGUCUUGAGUACAGUAGAGGUGGGCGGAAUUCGUGGUGUAGCGGUGAAAUGCUUAGAUAUCACGAAGAACUCCGAUUGCGAAGGCAGUUCACUGGACUGCAACUGACACUGAGGCUCGAAAGUGUGGGUAUCAAACAGGAUUAGAUACCCCUGUAGUC